UUCUGCCUUCAACUGCUGCUACUAAUAUUAGUGAAAAAAUAGAAGCAAUAAAGGCCACAUUCAAAUUAUAUUGUUAGCAACAUGUAUAUUGUUUCCUUUUUGGUUUAUUAAUUAAUAUGCUUCUUUUAUUGUUAGGCUAUGUGCCAAUUAAAUUCUGAAAAUAGGAAAAACAAAAGUGGAGGCAUCGAAUGGGACCUAUUAAUUUUGCAAGAGUGCGUGUGGAAUUGCACGCAACCAAAGAGAACAACGAGGAACCAUCAAAGUCUGAAAUGUUUAUUACAACUUGUACAAAGAAAGGGAAGGAAGUUCAUUCAAAUACUCAAGUUGCAAUAGUAAAUCAUGCUGCAAGUUAAGUCUUGUUAUUUUAUUUUCUCUCUUUAACUGAAUGUGUUUCUUUAAUAUGAUUUUAUUUGUACAAGAUGUUAGAUAUUUGUCAACCUUUCUCAAAUAAUAUGAUUAUACCGGCACAAGAUUUUUAAUAUGAUGUUGCCUGCACAGAAUUCUCCAUUCUGUAUCUGUGAGUCAUAAAUGUUGAAUGAAAAUAAAUAUUCAGAAGUAGAUGAUAUUAUUUGUUUCAGAAGUAGUCAUUUGGAGUAGAUACUUGUCCACUCUAGUAGAAGCUCGAACCACCAUUGUCCAGUCUUCCCCAGUUGAUAUCCUUGCUAUUCCAUUGUCCUUAGAUUUAACAUCCUUUGAUCCAGUAACUUAUCCAGCAGUUUCCCCGUUACUACUGAAAUUUUCAGAUUGCAAAGCAAUCUCACGAUCCUCCUUGUCACUUUUAGGUUCAACGGCUUAUUGUGAAUCUUCCUUUUGCACAACCUGCUCGCUUCCAUCCUUCAAAAGAGUUGUUUGUGCACCAACAGUAUAUUGAUCAUCAAUUGGAUGAGUACAUCUUUAGCUUCCACACCUGUUGAUUUAUCAGUUGUUUUACCCAAUCUAACAAUAGGUCGAUCACCAUCUGUCGCACCAGCUUUUGCCUUCUCACGUGCAAACUGUUGUACAUUAGUUUGCCUCUAUCCUUUUUGUCCAGAACCUGGACCUGUAGCAACACCCUGCUCGUUAACCUCCACUUGUCGCUGCACCUCGACUUUAGAUUUAUCAAAAUUUUGCACAGCCUCCGACUUCUUCUGAUUAUUCCUCAUAAGCACAAUAUUUUCCAUAGCGACUAGACAUGAGUUACUCUUCCAGCAACAGCUACAUCCUAUGAAAAUCUAGCAAAAGCUAUUUCAACAGGAACUAUAGCAGUACUAGCGACAGCUGCUACAUGUGAUGUCUUAAACGGAUUUUAAGCAUACUCAUGAUCCCCCUGAUGUGAUUUUGAAGCCGGUGUAGCAGCUGUAGGAUUAAACAAGAAAUUUUGAUAGGUGGUAUAUCUGGUUCAAGGUUUAAACAGGAUUAAACAAGAUUACACAGGUUUAAACAGGAUUAACCAGAUAAAUAAGAAAUUUUAUAUGUGCUAUAUCUGGUUCAACUUAUUCUUAAUUUUUGGACUUGUCUCUAAUUUCUCUGUAGCCAGUGGUAGUCGCGGUUCUGAUUUAUUAUGUGCAAAUAGCUGAAAGAAGUUGGGAAGUUGGGUGCUGGUUCAUAGGCUGAAGAAAUUAAGUACCUUAUACGAAAGACUGACAAACCCAGCUAACAACUGAACUUUUCCUACCACCUUUGCGUUUGAUGAAACCUCUUCAUUCAUAUUAAGCUGUCAAAUACCUAAGUGGUCUUAUAGCACAUUAUCCGAAGCAAAGGAAACAUUUUGCAGGCUAUCGCUAUUUGGUACAUGUUCACAAAUUUCCUUCUUGGAUAAGAGUUAACUGCUUCUGAACUUAACACCUAUUUUCCGAUUAAAAAACUACAAAAGCGCUUAGGUCUGCUCCUUUGAGCAAUUCCUUCGUUCAUUGAGAAUGAAUACAGUUAGAUUGUGCUAGAUGUUGCCAAUGAAUUCCAGCUAGGAAGUAACACGAAAACUACAAAAUGAAACUUCAUAUUAAAAUGGUUAUGAUCAUUGUCACUGAAAAAUCUAUUGACAUUCUUGGCUAAAUUUUGAGGUAUGUUAAACUUUUAUUUAAUCUGACUUGACUUGUUAAAAAUUAUUUUAGUGCUCUAUCUAUCUUGACUUGUAAGUGAUGUGUAAUAAUAAUUAUUUGAUAGUAUGAACUUCAGAAUUGCCAAAUUCUGGAGAAACAACAGAUGAUGCAUUUAGGGCUGUAUUUGGAAAGGAGCAGCCUGGUCAGGUUAGAUGCUAUGGUAGAUCGGUGAUGACAAGCUCUCUGAAAAAAGAUGAAGAAAUCACCAAGCUUAAACAAAAUCAUGCCAACGAAAUAACUUCUCUGAAGGAAGAAAUGAACGAAAUGAUGAGGAAAGAAAUGUGAUGUUCUUUUAGUCAAUUGGUGAAAAACAACCCUGGAUUAGAUUUUCAUGAUAUACAAGGGUGUGUUGGAUCUAAUAUUCCUUCACCGGUUGAUGCAAGUAGUGCACGAGCUAUGAGAAGCAAAAAUCUACAACAUUCUUCUGGCUCAACUCAUGCCCCGAGUAUUGAAAAGGUAUUUAUAUUUUACAAUUCCAAAAACUACCUCAAUCUUAAGUAACUUACAAAAUCAUGCUUUCUAUAAGUGUGUGAUAGGAAACUGAAUCUAUUGUCAUGACUAAGAUUCUAGGGGUCAUAAUGUUUGAAAGUAGACUAUAGAAAAAAUAUUUGCAGAGUUGGUUAUUGGUAUCUCAAUAGGUAUUUUGUUUCUUUGAGGA
Molecule: non-coding RNA, 2736 nt
Organism: Nicotiana tabacum (common tobacco)
Lineage: Eukaryota; Viridiplantae; Streptophyta; Magnoliopsida; Solanales; Solanaceae
Source: RefSeq, a predicted model, not a curated record